GCACAAUUGCCUGGCUCCUCUGGCCAAAGGGUGCUCUGCUUCUGGCAGCUGAAGAUCCCAGUAGACAGCUUCUUAAACCAUGGCUUUCCCUGCAGGAUUUGGAUGGGCGGCAGCCACUGCAGCUUAUCAAGUAGAAGGAGGCUGGGAUGCAGAUGGAAAAGGCCCUUGUGUCUGGGACACAUUUACUCAUCAGGGAGGAGAGAGAGUUUUCAAGAACCAGACUGGCGAUGUAGCUUGUGGCAGCUACACUCUGUGGGAGGAAGAUUUGAAAUGUAUCAAACAGCUUGGAUUGACUCAUUACCGCUUCUCUCUUUCCUGGUCACGUCUGUUACCUGAUGGGACGACAGGUUUCAUCAACCAGAAAGGAAUUGAUUAUUACAACAAGAUCAUCGAUGAUUUGUUAAAAAAUGGGGUUACUCCCAUUGUGACCCUCUACCACUUUGAUUUGCCUCAGACUUUAGAAGACCAAGGAGGUUGGUUGUCAGAGGCAAUCAUUGAAUCCUUUGACAAAUAUGCUCAGUUUUGCUUCAGUACCUUUGGGGAUCGUGUCAAGCAGUGGAUCACCAUAAAUGAAGCUAAUGUUCUUUCUGUGAUGUCAUAUGACUUAGGUAUGUUUCCUCCGGGUAUCCCUCACUUUGGGACUGGAGGUUAUCAGGCAGCUCAUAAUUUGAUUAAGGCUCAUGCCAGAUCCUGGCACAGCUAUGAUUCCUUAUUUCGAAAAAAGCAGAAAGGUAUGGUGUCUCUAUCACUUUUUGCGGUCUGGUUGGAACCAGCAGAUCCCAACUCAGUGUCUGACCAGGAAGCUGCUAAAAGAGCCAUCACUUUCCAUCUGGAUUUAUUUGCUAAACCCAUAUUCAUCGAUGGUGAUUAUCCUGAAGUUGUCAAGUCUCAGAUUGCCUCCAUGAGUCAAAAGCAAGGCUAUCCAUCAUCGAGGCUUCCAGAAUUCACUGAAGAAGAGAAGAAAAUGAUCAAAGGCACUGCUGAUUUUUUUGCUGUGCAAUAUUAUACAACUCGCUUAAUCAAGUACCAGGAGAACAAGAAAGGAGAACUAGGUAUUCUCCAGGAUGCGGAAAUUGAAUUUUUUCCAGAUCCAUCUUGGAAAAAUGUGGAUUGGAUCUACGUGGUACCAUGGGGAGUAUGUAAACUACUGAAAUAUAUUAAGGAUACAUAUAAUAACCCUGUAAUUUACAUCACUGAGAAUGGGUUUCCCCAGAGUGACCCAGCGCCUCUUGAUGACACUCAACGCUGGGAGUAUUUCAGACAAACAUUUCAGGAACUGUUCAAAGCUAUCCAACUUGAUAAAGUCAAUCUUCAAGUAUAUUGUGCAUGGUCUCUUCUGGAUAACUUUGAGUGGAACCAGGGAUACAGCAGCCGGUUUGGUCUCUUCCACGUUGAUUUUGAAGACCCAGCUAGACCCCGAGUCCCUUACACAUCGGCCAAGGAAUAAGCCAAGAUCAUCCGAAACAAUGGCCUUGAAGCACAUCUGUAGGCAAGAUGGCUGAGAAAUACAGGAGAGGCGUCUGCUUUUGGAAAGGAAAUCUGCUUUGGUGAUGAUCUUUCAGGCAAUCUCAACUUACUUCUUUAAUCAACAUUUAAUAUCAAUGGAUCUGUGAUUAAAUGUCUGAAUAUGUAAUGCCUCGUGAAGUAUUUAAUAAUGGCCUUUAUUUGUAUUUGGAUCAAUGAGGUUUUUAAAAAAAAUGGAAGAGAAAACCACUAACCUUGAUUUUUGUAUUGCAAAAUCAGAUAGACCUGGAAACAUAAAUUUAAAUCCUUAGACAUUUUUCUAGAAAAAAAUGCAAAGUUUAUAAAGAUGAUACAACCAUGAUUUGCAACUGUAACAGGAGACCAUUUAUUAUAAGCGUACCUGUUUGUGAACUUAAUUAUUCUGAUUCCAUAAGCUGUUUUUGCUUAGGUGAUCCACUGCCAUGUGAUCCAUAAUUUUUCUACAUAAAAAAUCAAAGUUAAAAGUCACAUUAUACAGUUAUGCAUUCAUUUCAACAAAAUAGUGAAUUGAUAAUCUACUUGUUAAUAUAUUCGGCCCAUAUUUUGUGUGUUUGGACAAGUACAUCUCCCUUUUGCCUAAUGAACUUUUGAAAAAUAAUAAAAUAAUAGAAUAAAUUAGACUUUGAAUGGCA
Homo sapiens (human) is the source of this 2135-nucleotide RNA transcript. It is a transcript of the gene named glucosylceramidase beta 3 (gene/pseudogene), transcript variant 1, non-coding, with no coding region annotated. The record is from RefSeq and is marked reviewed. Lineage: Eukaryota; Metazoa; Chordata; Mammalia; Primates; Hominidae. The transcript is spliced from 5 exons.